GCAGGCUUAACACAUGCAAGUCGAGGGGUAUAUGUCUUCGGAUAUAGAGACCGGCGCACGGGUGCGUAACGCGUAUGCAAUCUACCUUUUACAGAGGGAUAGCCCAGAGAAAUUUGGAUUAAUACCUCAUAGUAUAGCUCUACCGCAUGGUAGUACUAUUAAAGUCACAACGGUAAAAGAUGAGCAUGCGUCCCAUUAGCUAGUUGGUAAGGUAACGGCUUACCAAGGCAACGAUGGGUAGGGGUCCUGAGAGGGAGAUCCCCCACACUGGUACUGAGACACGGACCAGACUCCUACGGGAGGCAGCAGUGAGGAAUAUUGGACAAUGGGCGCAAGCCUGAUCCAGCCAUGCCGCGUGCAGGAUGACGGUCCUAUGGAUUGUAAACUGCUUUUGUACGAGAAGAAACACUGCUUCGUGAAGCAGCUUGACGGUAUCGUAAGAAUAAGGAUCGGCUAACUCCGUGCCAGCAGCCGCGGUAAUACGGAGGAUCCAGGCGUUAUCCGGAAUCAUUGGGUUUAAAGGGUCCGUAGGCGGUUUAGUAAGUCAGUGGUGAAAGCCCAUCGCUCAACGGUGGAACGGCCAUUGAUACUGCUGAACUUGAAUUAUUAGGAAGUAACUAGAAUAUGUAGUGUAGCGGUGAAAUGCUUAGAGAUUACAUGGAAUACCAAUUGCGAAGGCAGGUUACUACUAAUUGAUUGACGCUGAUGGAC
This 711-nucleotide ribosomal RNA is filed under the name uncultured Flavobacteriales bacterium. Its description in RNAcentral is "bacterial SSU rRNA". It matches the Rfam family "Bacterial small subunit ribosomal RNA", at positions 42 to 754 of the family's 1533-position model. Lineage: Bacteria; Pseudomonadati; Bacteroidota; Flavobacteriia; Flavobacteriales. The record is from RNAcentral.